This 21-nucleotide non-coding RNA is filed under the name Caenorhabditis elegans. Lineage: Eukaryota; Metazoa; Nematoda; Chromadorea; Rhabditida; Rhabditidae. The record is from RNAcentral.
UAUCUUAGACAUUUUGUUUUG